This 341-nucleotide long non-coding RNA is filed under the name Mytilus galloprovincialis (Mediterranean mussel). The record is from RNAcentral. Lineage: Eukaryota; Metazoa; Mollusca; Bivalvia; Mytilida; Mytilidae.
UGCCAAUACAGUGAAACUUCUCAAAACCGGCCGCCCGUCGGACCACGGGAUUCGGCCGGUUUUCAGGGGUGGCCGGUUUGUUGAAUUUGAAAUUAACAAGAGUUACUUCCCUUCAAUAUACGUGCAUUUGUUUUUUUUACCAUGUAUUGUACCUCAAUCAUAAAGUUGUUUUUUUGUGUAAAUUUAGCUUUGUAUUCUAAAUUGAUUAUGAAAUAAAUAUUAAAACAUCAUUUGUAUCUUUAUUAUUUUUUAUUUUGCAGUAAUAACAAAUAAAAUGCAACUGUAUAACAAAACAGUUUUAAUAUCAAUAUCUUCUGUUAUUGAACACAGUUGACAUAUAC